GUUGGGAAAUGAUGAUAACCUAUUCCACUGAGGGUAGAUAAAUGUUAUCCACCUCUGGAUUAUACCUUGCACGUCAGUCUGAUCCCAUU
Zea mays is the source of this 89-nucleotide non-coding RNA. The record is from Rfam. NCBI's taxonomy places the organism in Eukaryota, Viridiplantae, Streptophyta, Magnoliopsida, Poales, Poaceae.